GCAGCAGACUAGGACUGGCCUGACUGCACCACUGGGACUGAGAGCAUACAAACAGGAACAGUUGAGGACAAAACUACAAUUACAACAAACCCUACACUGAACAGUAGGCUACAACAUAGAUAGUGUUGUGUCGUAAAUAAGACAACGUGGCCCCCCCGGACUUUCAAUGUAGCAACUGUUUGCUCGCAGAGGACUACAGAGCAGCUGGACGCCACUCUGACCUGAUGGGUGUGUUGCCGCCGUGUCGUCUCUCCAUAACCGACUGGCCGGUGCUCUGCAGGGAUCCCUCCCUGAAAAGAUCUCCCCCUUCCCUGGGAAAUUGAAUUAGUAGGAUGCUUCUGGAUGACUUAAUGGAUGUUCCUAUUUGUUACAGGCUUUGGUUUUUCCAUUUGUUGGUUUGAGUGAUGGGAAGGCCAAUGCAAUGAUACUGUAUGUUGCGUGGUUCUAGGUUAGAUAUUGUCCACCCUACCUCCUAACAGGCACACUGCAGGACAAAGUGGGAAACAUACUGUACAUUCAAAAUUCAACAUAUCACCUACCUCAGUCCAAAAUCUUUUG
RNAcentral lists this long non-coding RNA (558 nucleotides) under Salmo salar (Atlantic salmon). RNAcentral's name for it is "lncRNA (ENSSSAG00000117920.1)". The record is from RNAcentral. Lineage: Eukaryota; Metazoa; Chordata; Actinopteri; Salmoniformes; Salmonidae.